Molecule: ribosomal RNA, 512 nt
Filed under: uncultured bacterium
Lineage: Bacteria
Description: partial 16S ribosomal RNA
Rfam family: Bacterial small subunit ribosomal RNA
Source: RNAcentral
GACGAACGCUGGCGGCGUGCUUAACACAUGCAAGUCGAACGAAAAGAGGGAAAGAGCUUGCUCUUUCCGGAAUUGAGUGGCAAACGGGUGAGUAACACGUAAACAACCUGCCUUCAGGAUGGGACAACAGACGGAAACGACCGCCAAUACCGAAUAAGUUCCAAGGGCCGCAUGGCCCAUGGAAGAAAAGGUGGCCUCUACCUGUAAGCUAUCGCCCGAAGAGGGGUUUGCGGCUGAUUAGCUGGUUGGAGGGGUAACGGCCCACCAAGGCGACGAUCAGUAGCCGGUCUGAGAGGAUGAACGGCCACACUGGAACUGAGACACGGUCCAGACUCCUACGGGAGGCAGCAGUGGGGAAUCUUCCGCAAUGGGCGAAAGCCUGACGGAGCAACGCCGCGUGAGUGAUGACGGCCUUCGGGUUGUAAAACUCUGUGAUCCGGGACGAAAAGGCAGAGUGCGAAGAACAAACUGCAUUGACGGUACCGGAAAAGCAAGCCACGGCUAACUACGUG